RNAcentral lists this long non-coding RNA (204 nucleotides) under Elaeis guineensis (African oil palm). RNAcentral describes it as "long non-coding RNA (EGUI_LNC009810)". The record is from RNAcentral. Lineage: Eukaryota; Viridiplantae; Streptophyta; Magnoliopsida; Arecales; Arecaceae.
AAUGAGCCCUUGUAGUGGAUGUUGGCGAUAGUUGAUCCACUACAGGAGUAGGAUGUACAACAAGACGGGAUCUAUCGAUCUUGAUAGAGAGAAGUAGUCCUAUGAAAUUUGAGAGGCUAAGUCUGAGAAUCUAUGACCACAAUAGUAUGAUUAAUGAAAAUUUUUUUUAUAAAAAUCAUAAUUGGACUUAAGCUGAUGGAAUCU